This 456-nucleotide ribosomal RNA is filed under the name uncultured bacterium. RNAcentral's name for it is "bacterial SSU rRNA". It matches the Rfam family "Bacterial small subunit ribosomal RNA", at positions 340 to 786 of the family's 1533-position model. The record is from RNAcentral.
UACGGAAGGCAGCAGUGGGGAAUAUUGCACAAUGGGCGAAAGCCUGAUGCAGCUAUGCCGCGUGUAUGAAGAAGGCCUUAGGGUUGUAAAGUACUUUCAUCGGGGAGGAAAAAACAAAACUAAUAAUUUUAUUUCUUGACGUUACCCGAAAAAGAAGCACCGGCUAACUCCGUGCCAGCAGCCGCGGUAAUACGGAGGGUGCUAGCGUUAAUCAGAAUUACUGGGCGUAAAGAGCACGUAGGUGGUUUUUUUAAGUCAGAUGUGAAAUCCCUGGGCUUAACCUGGAACUGCAUUUUGAAACUGAAAUACUAGAGUAUCGUAGAGGGAGGUAGAAUUCUAGGUGUAGCGGUGAAAUGCGUAGAUAUCUGGAGGAAUACCUGUGGCGAAAGCGGCCUCCUAAACGAAUACUGACACUGAGGUGCGAAAAGCGUGGGGAGCAAACAGGGAUUAGAUACC